This 273-nucleotide ribosomal RNA is filed under the name uncultured bacterium. RNAcentral describes it as "partial 16S ribosomal RNA". It matches the Rfam family "Bacterial small subunit ribosomal RNA", at positions 523 to 796 of the family's 1533-position model. The record is from RNAcentral.
CUACGGAGGGUGCAAACGUUGUUCGGAAUCACUGGGCGUAAAGGGCGCGCAGGCGGUUUGAUUAGUCAGAUGUGAAAGCCCACGGCUUAACCGUGGAAGUGCAUUUGAAACUGUCAGACUUGAGUACCAGAGGGGGUAGUGGAAUUCCCGGUGUAGAGGUGAAAUUCGUAGAUAUCGGGAGGAAUACCGGUGGCGAAGGCGACUACCUGGCUGGAUACUGACGCUGAGGCGCGAAAGCGUGGGAGCAAACAGGAUUAGAAACCCGAGUAGUCC